This 2052-nucleotide ribosomal RNA is filed under the name Triticum aestivum (bread wheat). RNAcentral's name for it is "partial small subunit ribosomal RNA". Lineage: Eukaryota; Viridiplantae; Streptophyta; Magnoliopsida; Poales; Poaceae. The record is from RNAcentral.
GAGGUGUGUUUACUUUUUACAAGGUGACCGACAGCGACGUUCGGACGUUUCAGACGGGUGCAGAGAGGAGCACAACUGCAACUGAAACUGAUUACGUGCGCGAAGAACGUUGAAUGAAGCAGAGCUGAGAGUCCGCCUCUAGACGUUGCGACGGUGUCGUUCGUGAUUGGACGCUGCCCGUUGUACGCAGCGUCGGCGGCCCUUGGCUGCUGAGGUAACGGCUGGAGCCGGAGGCCUCCGACCUCCGGCGGCUACUCCGGCAUUCCUCCACCCGUAGAGCCCCGCGCCGGCAGCUCCUGUCGCUGCCGCAGCAGAGGAUGAGCCGACCAGAACACCGCCGCCAGUUCCUGGAGUAGAGGGAGGCGAGUCCACCACCGCCGGAGAUGCUUUAGCGGAAUGUCCAACGGUACCAUGUGGAACUCCUACUGAAGGCGGUUCAAGAAUGAAGUCCGUGUAUAAAUAUGGGGGGAUUGUCAGAGGUUCUUAGUGACGUGCUGACGUAACGGGGGAAAUACGCUAGGAAGAGUAAAAGUAGUUAGGGGUUGAACCUUCUAGAGUCGAAGAGUAGUAAAAGGUGUUCAGGAUCACCACUCUCGGCUUCAAUACCAUGACCUAUAUCGUCGCCAGGACACACGUACCUCUUUCAUGUGUACAUAGACUAACUGGGACUUCGAAGCUAGAUAGAUUUCCUCUAACGACUCGAAUACUAUGAACGACCGGUACGUGGUUUGUACACAGCACUAAUGCCUCUUUGUGCGGUGUUGUACAAUUACGUUACGGAAAGAGACGAGCCACAAGUCUAACUCGUUUUUUCGGUGUUGUUGGUUCGUCUUCGUUGACGGUUACCGCGUACGUCGUACGUCGAUAUACUCUUCUUAGUCUUUUACACCUAGGUUCGUGAGUCUCAGCAACAGUCGUAUCAGGAGGGACUUCUUGCGCUGCGAACGCGAGUCUAAAAGCCCACACUAGCAUUCCACCUCCUCCUAACAAAACGGUCUCGGUGGUGUCCCACAUGACCUGUUAACGAGCGUCAACCUUCAUACUACUGGUUACAGUUUCACUUACUGGUCGUUAUAGUAUUUCAUGGGGACGAAGAUGUCUACGUACUCCUUAACCAUUUCGAAGUUGGUUCAUAUUUACAGGAGUACAGACCACUACGGUUCCCACACUAAUCACUCGUCCGGUCAAACGAAGAUCUAUUCGAACCCCUUCUUCGUAGUUCAGAGGAAGACCUCAAGGACUUACAUAUAAGAUUGGAAUUUGGUACGGUUGUAUUUCAUGAACUACCUCUAUAGGACGGUAACUGUGCGGUACAGUAGUAAAAAUAACUUGAUGAACAACUCAUGUUACUGUGCUAGUUAGUAUAUAAUGGGGCACACCUCCUGCUGCUACUCCCCUUCCCCUUCCUCGUCUCGUGUUUCUCUUGAUUCUCAGCGACCCUUGCAAUACACGAGUACAACGAGCGAGCAAACGUCGACUUCCAACUCCUCUUACGACUCAGAAUGCUCCUGCUCGCGUACUCCAUGUAAAAGGACUACUUAUUACGUUACGUACACCAAUUUCCGAGUCCCAGAGGGCUAGACUCAUACAGGUACCCCUUGCUGUUGGUGGUUGUCGAACAGUAUGCCCACCUUGUCAUACGCUGUCGAAUGGAAGCUCGUAGUACCUGACUUCGAGACGAAGUCAACUCACUAGUGCCACACUCAUUUAUAAGACACUUAAAGCCAGGUCCUAGACAGAGAGUUACCUACUCUUUUUCGUACUUCUUAAAGUUAAGCCGUAAGCCUCUUUAUUCGUCCCAGGUUUGCUGUACCUUUCACGGGUUGGGAGUUGAAUCUGUUGUGAAUGCCAAUUAAUAUAACGUCGUUCAAGAAUUGCGAAUAGCGUGUGAAAAUCCUUCCAUACUGACGACAGACCCUUUUUUAGGUUCGUUCAUGUAUUUCAUGUGAGGACUGCUGUAUCUCUUAGUACAAAACCUGGACAAGCUUCCAAUUGUUCCUAGUCGCCUCGAGAAGGCCGCUUCUUGCGCCGUGCGAAGCCUCGCCCUUCAAG